This 253-nucleotide ribosomal RNA is filed under the name uncultured bacterium. Its description in RNAcentral is "partial 16S ribosomal RNA". It matches the Rfam family "Bacterial small subunit ribosomal RNA", at positions 524 to 776 of the family's 1533-position model. The record is from RNAcentral.
UACGUAGGGUGCGAGCGUUAAUCGGAAUUACUGGGCGUAAAGCGUGCGCAGGCGGUUAUGUAAGACAGGUGUGAAAUCCCCGGGCUUAACCUGGGAACUGCGCUUGUGACUGCAUAACUUGAGUGUGGCAGAGGGGGGUGGAAUUCCACGUGUAGCAGUGAAAUGCGUAGAGAUGUGGAGGAACACCGAUGGCGAAGGCAGCCCCCUGGGUCAAGAUUGACGCUCAUGCACGAAAGCGUGGGGAGCAAACAGG